Molecule: ribosomal RNA, 279 nt
Filed under: uncultured bacterium
Lineage: Bacteria
Description: partial 16S ribosomal RNA
Rfam family: Bacterial small subunit ribosomal RNA
Source: RNAcentral
GAUGAACGCUAGCGGGAGGCCUAAUACAUGCAAGUCGAAGGACAUCUUCGGAUGGACUGGCGCACGGGUGAGUAACGCGUACACUACCUACCUUAUACAGGGGGACAGCCUUUGGAAACGGAGAUUAAUACCCCAUGGUACCGAGAGGUUAAAGCAUUAGCGGUAUAAGAUGGGUGUGCGUGUCAUUAGAUAGUUGGUAAGGUAACGGCUUACCAAGUCUACGAUGACUAGGGGGCGUGAGAGCGUGACCCCCCACACGGGUACUGAGACACGGACCCG